This 324-nucleotide ribosomal RNA is filed under the name uncultured eukaryote. RNAcentral's name for it is "partial 18S ribosomal RNA". It matches the Rfam family "Eukaryotic small subunit ribosomal RNA", at positions 1470 to 1796 of the family's 1831-position model. The record is from RNAcentral.
CCCUUAGAUGUUCUGGGCCGCACGCGCGCUACACUGAUGCAUUCAACGAGUUUCUUCCUGGUCCGAGAGGAAUGGGUAACCUUUUGAAAGUGCAUCGUGAUAGGGAUAGACUAUUGCAAUUAUUGGUCUUCAACGAGGAAUUCCUAGUAGACGUAGUUCAUCAGACUGCAUCGAUUACGUCCCUGCCCUUUGUACACACCGCCCGUCGCUCCUACCGAUUGAAUGCUCAGGUGCGCCAUUCGGACUUUCAUCAUGCUGGUUUCCAGUUUUGAUGAAGGAAAGUCUUGCGAACCUUAUCAUUUAGAGGAAGGAGAAGUCGUAACA